GCAUCAAUGACUUCCAUAUAUCCAUUCCUUGGAAAGCUGAACAACAUGAGUGAAAACUCUAUUAAAAAAAAAACAAAGAAAAAGC
This 85-nucleotide small nucleolar RNA is filed under the name Mandrillus leucophaeus (drill). Its description in RNAcentral is "Small nucleolar RNA SNORD116 (ENSMLEG00000013338.1)". It matches the Rfam family "Small nucleolar RNA SNORD116". Rfam says of the family: HBII-85 is a member of the C/D class of snoRNAs, which contain the C (UGAUGA) and D (CUGA) box motifs. HBII-85 is encoded in a tandemly repeated array with another C/D snoRNA, HBII-52, in the Prader-Willi syndrome (PWS) region of chromosome 15. Lineage: Eukaryota; Metazoa; Chordata; Mammalia; Primates; Cercopithecidae. The record is from Rfam by way of RNAcentral.